AUACUCAAGAGACUGAGGUGGGAGGAUCACUUGAGCCCAGGAGGGUGAAGGUGCUGUGAGCUGUGAUCAUGCCAUUGCACUCCAGCCUGGGCGACAAGAGCAAAACUCCGUCUCAAAAAAAGAGUUAAAAUGGACAAGACUUGGUGGGUAUUAGCAGGUAAAGGGGAGAAGGGUGAGGGAAGUCAGGCGUGACUCCAGUUUCUGGCUUGGGCAGCUGGAUCGAAGAUGGUGCUGAGGAGGGAAACAUGGGAGGACAAUCAGGCUUGAGUGGAAAGAUGGUGAAUUUCUCCCCUAUUCUAUUCCUAAUAGUUGGAGUUCUUUCUAAGCAGGGCUUCUGUAGUUCUGUAGCAGGUAGAAGCCUUUCAGGGCCACUAAGGUGCUGGCAUGAUGCGUGUUAUUCCAGUGCCUCCUAGUGAUGAUUUUUCCAAGCAAUUGUGUUUUAUUAGCUGAACCUCUGGGUGGAAGAACAGUGACAGUGUCAAGCUGAGACUAAUAAUCCUCCAGAUCACAUAGACUGCUACACACACACAUAAACUGUGAAAUUCCUGUGUCAUCUCAUGGUUCAUUUUAUGAUCAGUUAAAAAAAGCAGCCUCCCUCUUGUUCCACAUACGUAUUCCACAGAAUACAA
Sapajus apella (tufted capuchin) is the source of this 629-nucleotide long non-coding RNA. RefSeq lists it as uncharacterized. Lineage: Eukaryota; Metazoa; Chordata; Mammalia; Primates; Cebidae. The record is from RefSeq and is a predicted model, not a curated record. The transcript has 2 exons.